This 73-nucleotide transfer RNA is filed under the name Danionella translucida. It matches the Rfam family "tRNA". From Rfam's summary of the family: Transfer RNA (tRNA) molecules are approximately 80 nucleotides in length. Their secondary structure includes four short double-helical elements and three loops (D, anti-codon, and T loops). Further hydrogen bonds mediate the characteristic L-shaped molecular structure. tRNAs have two regions of fundamental functional importance: the anti-codon, which is responsible for specific mRNA codon recognition, and the 3' end, to which the tRNAs corresponding amino acid is attached (by aminoacyl-tRNA synthetases). tRNAs cope with the degeneracy of the genetic code in two manners: having more than one tRNA (with a specific anti-codon) for a particular amino acid; and 'wobble' base-pairing, i.e. permitting non-standard base-pairing at the 3rd anti-codon position. Lineage: Eukaryota; Metazoa; Chordata; Actinopteri; Cypriniformes; Danionidae. RNAcentral also lists the same sequence under 1 other name. The record is from Rfam by way of RNAcentral.
GUUUCCGUAGUGUAGUGGUCAUCACGUUUGCCUCACAUGCAAAAGGUCCCCAGUUCAAAACUGGGCGGAAACA